This 98-nucleotide non-coding RNA is filed under the name Bdellovibrio bacteriovorus. RNAcentral's name for it is "Guanine sequence". It matches the Rfam family "Purine riboswitch aptamer". Rfam says of the family: Riboswitches are metabolite binding domains within certain messenger RNAs that serve as precision sensors for their corresponding targets. Allosteric rearrangement of mRNA structure is mediated by ligand binding, and this results in modulation of gene expression. The record is from RNAcentral. Lineage: Bacteria; Pseudomonadati; Bdellovibrionota; Bdellovibrionia; Bdellovibrionales; Pseudobdellovibrionaceae.
GGAAAUAACACUCUGGUUUUCCGUAUAUGACACGAAUAUGGCGUGACGUUUCUACCAGGCACCGUAAAAGCCUGUCUAUGGAGGGACUUAUGAAGUCC